RNAcentral lists this ribosomal RNA (774 nucleotides) under uncultured bacterium. RNAcentral's name for it is "bacterial SSU rRNA". It matches the Rfam family "Bacterial small subunit ribosomal RNA", at positions 8 to 758 of the family's 1533-position model. The record is from RNAcentral.
AGAGUUUGAUCAUGGCUCAGGACGAACGCUGGCGGCGUGCUUAACACAUGCAAGUCAAGGGGAAAGACCGAUUUCGAUUGGUUGAGUAAACUGGCGGACGGGUGAGUAACGCGUAGGCAACCUGGCUUUUUGUCUGGGAUAACCUUGCGAAAGCGGGGCUAAUACCGGAUGUGGUUCAGAUGUCGCCUGACAUUUGAAUUAAAGCUGCUUUUGGGUAGUGCGAAGAGAUGGGCCUGCGUUCCAUUAGUUAGUUGGUGAGGUAACGGCUCACCAAGGCGACGAUGGAUAGCUGGUCUGAGAGGACGAUCAGCCACACUGGGACUGAGAUACGGCCCAGACUCCUACGGGAGGCAGCAGUGGGGAAUAUUGCGCAAUGCCCGCAAGGGUGACGCAGCGACGCCGCGUGGGUGAUGAAGCUCUACGGAGUGUAAAGCCCUGUCAGAAGGGAAGAACGGUCUGGAUUCGUUAAGGGUUCAGGUGUGACGGUACCUUCAGAGGAAGCUCCGGCUAACUCCGUGCCAGCAGCCGCGGUAAUACGGGGGGAGCAAGCGUUGUCCGGAAUCACUGGGCGUAAAGGGGCGUGUAGGCGGGUAAUCAAGUCAGGUGUAAAAGUCCAUGGCUCAACCAUGGUAAGCCAUCUGAAACUGGUUAUCUUGAGUUCGAGAGAGGGUAGUGGAAUUCCAGGUGUAGCGGGUGAAAUGCGUAGAUAUCUGGAAGAACACCGGGAUGCGAAGGCGGGCUACCUGGGCUCGCAACUGACGCUGAGGCGCGAAA